AUGAACGCUGGCGGCGUGCUUAACACAUGCAAGUCGAGCGAAGCACUAAAGCGGAUUUCUUCGGAUUGAAGGUUUAGUGACUGAGCGGCGGACGGGUGAGUAACGCGUGGGUAACCUGCCUCAUACAGGGGGAUAACAGUUGGAAACGGCUGCUAAUACCGCAUAAGCGCACAGUACCGCAUGGUACGGUGUGAAAAACUCCGGUGGUAUGAGAUGGACCCGCGUCUGAUUAGGUAGUUGGUGGGGUAACGGCCUACCAAGCCGACGAUCAGUAGCCGACCUGAGAGGGUGACCGGCCACAUUGGGACUGAGACACGGCCCAAACUCCUACGGGAGGCAGCAGUGGGGAAUAUUGCACAAUGGGGGAAACCCUGAUGCAGCGACGCCGCGUGAGCGAAGAAGUAUUUCGGUAUGUAAAGCUCUAUCAGCAGGGAAGA
Molecule: ribosomal RNA, 437 nt
Filed under: uncultured bacterium
Lineage: Bacteria
Description: bacterial SSU rRNA
Rfam family: Bacterial small subunit ribosomal RNA
Source: RNAcentral